This 373-nucleotide ribosomal RNA is filed under the name uncultured organism. RNAcentral describes it as "partial 16S ribosomal RNA". It matches the Rfam family "Bacterial small subunit ribosomal RNA", at positions 527 to 896 of the family's 1533-position model. The record is from RNAcentral.
GUAGGUGGCAAGCGCUGUCCGGAAUUAUUGGGCGUAAAGCGCGCGCAGGCGGUUCUUUAAGUCUGAUGUGAAAGCCCACGGCUCAACCGUGGAGGGUCAUUGGAAACUGGAGAACUUGAGUACAGAAGAGGAAAGCGGAAUUCCACGUGUAGCGGUGAAAUGCGUAGAGAUGUGGAGGAACACCAGUGGCGAAGGCGGCUUUCUGGUCUGUAACUGACGCUGAGGCGCGAAAGCGUGGGGAGCAAACAGGAUUAGAUACCCUGGUAGUCCACGCCGUAAACGAUGAGUGCUAAGUGUUAGGGGGGUUUCCGCCCCCCUUAGUGCUGCAGCUAACGCAUUAAGCACUCCGCCUGGGAGUACGGCCGCAAGGCUG